UCAGAUUGAACGCUGGCGGCAGGCUUAACACAUGCAAGUCGAGCGGUAACAGGAGAAGCUUGCUUCUCGCUGACGAGCGGCGGACGGGUGAGUAAUACUUAGGAAUCUACCUAGUAGUGGGGGAUAGCACGGGGAAACUCGUAUUAAUACCGCAUACGACCUACGGGAGAAAGGGGGCAGUUUACUGCUCUCGCUAUUAGAUGAGCCUAAGUCGGAUUAGCUAGAUGGUGGGGUAAAGGCCUACCAUGGCGACGAUCUGUAGCUGGUCUGAGAGGAUGAUCAGCCACACCGGGACUGAGACACGGCCCGGACUCCUACGGGAGGCAGCAGUGGGGAAUAUUGGACAAUGGGGGAAACCCUGAUCCAGCCAUGCCGCGUGUGUGAAGAAGGCCUUUUGGUUGUAAAGCACUUUAAGCAGUGAAGAAGACUCCAUGGUUAAUACCCAUGGACGAUGACAUUAGCUGCAGAAUAAGCACCGGCUAACUCUGUGCCAGCAGCCGCGGUAAUACAGAGGGUGCAAGCGUUAAUCGGAAUUACUGGGCGUAAAGGGAGCGUAGGUGGCUCUAUAAGUCAGAUGUGAAAUCCCCGGGCUUAACCUGGGAACUGCAUCUGAAACUGUAGAGCUAGAGUAUGUGAGAGGAAGGUAGAAUUCCAGGUGUAGCGGUGAAAUGCGUAGAGAUCUGGAGGAAUACCGAUGGCGAAGGCAGCCUUCUGGCAUAAUACUGACACUGAGGCUCGAAAGCGUGGGUAGCAAACAGGAUUAGAUACCCUGGUAGUCCACGCCGUAAACGAUGUCUACUAGUCGUUGGGUCCCUUGAGGACUUAGUGACGCAGCUAACGCAAUAAGUAGACC
This 853-nucleotide ribosomal RNA is filed under the name Psychrobacter sp. Its description in RNAcentral is "bacterial SSU rRNA". It matches the Rfam family "Bacterial small subunit ribosomal RNA", at positions 24 to 870 of the family's 1533-position model. Lineage: Bacteria; Pseudomonadati; Pseudomonadota; Gammaproteobacteria; Moraxellales; Moraxellaceae. The record is from RNAcentral.